Molecule: transfer RNA, 72 nt
Organism: Camelus ferus (Wild Bactrian camel)
Lineage: Eukaryota; Metazoa; Chordata; Mammalia; Artiodactyla; Camelidae
Rfam family: tRNA
About the family: Transfer RNA (tRNA) molecules are approximately 80 nucleotides in length. Their secondary structure includes four short double-helical elements and three loops (D, anti-codon, and T loops). Further hydrogen bonds mediate the characteristic L-shaped molecular structure. tRNAs have two regions of fundamental functional importance: the anti-codon, which is responsible for specific mRNA codon recognition, and the 3' end, to which the tRNAs corresponding amino acid is attached (by aminoacyl-tRNA synthetases). tRNAs cope with the degeneracy of the genetic code in two manners: having more than one tRNA (with a specific anti-codon) for a particular amino acid; and 'wobble' base-pairing, i.e. permitting non-standard base-pairing at the 3rd anti-codon position.
Source: Rfam
GAGGGUAUGGCUCAGUAGUACAGUGCAUGCUUAGCAUGCACAAGGUCCUGGGUGCAAUCCCUAGUACCUCCA